Molecule: RNA transcript, 3535 nt
Organism: Bombus pyrosoma
Lineage: Eukaryota; Metazoa; Arthropoda; Insecta; Hymenoptera; Apidae
Gene: TH1
Gene name: negative elongation factor D
Exons: 11
Source: RefSeq, a predicted model, not a curated record
GUAUGGUGUAUUUGCAAUCUUUAAAUAUAUCAGUACAUGAGAAUUUUCUAUUAUGAAACGUUUUCAUUGUUACAUGAAGUAUAAAAAAAACACAAUUUCUUUUUUAAAACAUUAUAUUAGAAAGAAACAUUUAGUAUGAGUCUUUAGCUCAAUAUAUUACAUGUUUAUCUAUAUUAUUUGUCUAUAAUUGUAUUACGUAUUUAUAAAAUACUUAAAAAUAUUUGUGCGUUAAAUCUAUCAUAACAAAUUAAAAAAAUAAUGGAGUCAGAUUAUGAUGAAGAUCGUGGAGCUUGGACAGAAGAAAUGACAAGAAAUGAAGAUUGCAUAGGAGAAGAUAGUUUUGAUAAUCCUCAAGAGAUAUUAAAUGAAUGUUUGGAUAAAUUUAAAACACCAGAUUACAUCAUGGAGCCUGGUAUCUUUGCACAACUUAAAAGAUAUUUUCAAGCUGGUGGAAACCCAGAACAAGUGAUAGAAUUGUUAUCUAAAAACUAUACAGCUUGUGCUCAAAUGGCAAAUCUUCUUGCAGAAUGGCUUAUUCUUGCUGGAGUUAAAGUUACAGAUGUACAAGCAAUGGUAGAAAACAACUUAAAAGAUAUGAUAUUGAAAACAUUUGAUCCCAAAAAGGCAGAUAAAAUCUUUACAGAGGAGGGUGAAACUCCUGCUUGGUUAACGGAAAUGAUACAACAUCCUACCUGGCGGUCACUUAUUUACAGACUUGCGGAAGAAUAUCCUGAUUGCUUGAUGUUAAACUUCACUAUAAAGCUUAUAUCUGAUGCUGGAUUUCAAGGCGAAAUUACAAGCAUUUCAACAGCUGCACAACAAAUUGAAGUAUUUUCACGAGUUUUAAAAACUGCAAUUGCUGGAUUUUUGCAAAAUACAGAAGAUUGGCAGUCAAGUAUACAAGAAUGUGCAAAAAUGGUAUGUCAUGGACAACACACUUACGUCUACAGUCAAGUAUUGUUGCAAAUUCUUGCACAAGAAUCACGUGGUGGAUUUAUGAUGAAAAGGCUUUCUCAGGAAAUCACUAAAUGCGCUCAACAGAACCAUCAUGAUGUUACUCCAAUAACAAUGGCACUUAAUGGAGCUUCAAGUAGCCCUAGUGCAUGUCAAGCACUUGCAUCCAUGUUAUCACGGAAUACCUUAAAUCCUGCUGAUAUUACCGUAUUAUUUCGAAAUUAUUCUACUGCGGAACCACCUCCUAUAGAAUUACUUCGUAAUCCACAAUUCUUAGAACUAUUAGUUGAUGCACUUUUUAAACCGGGUGUAAAAAUUAAUCCUGAGCAUAAGUCUAAAUACAUAUAUUUAUUAGCUUAUGCAGCUAGUGUGUGUGAUAUUCCAGCCAAAAAGGGACAUUCACGGAAAUUAAAUAAGGAUGAAUUAAAAACAACUAUUCAAGCUAUAGAAAAAGUCCAUAACAUUUGCAACAUUAAUAAAGGAUCUACUGAAUUGAUAGCAGAAUUACAAACUUUAUAUCAGUGCAUAAGAUUUCCUGUUGUAAGUGUAGGUAUAAUUAGAUGGGUGGAGUGUACUGUAACUGAACCAUCAUAUUUUAAAUUGUGUACAGAACAUUGUCCUGUACAUCUUGCAUUACUUGAUGAAGUCGUAGUUUGCCAUUCUUUACUGCAUCCAAAAGUGUUACAACUUCUUGUACAGUUAUUUGAAAGUAAACAAGACGAACUGGAAAUACUUGUGCAGGUAAGGAGAAAACGGAAUGCAAAAUUUUCCCAAAUAUUUCAAAGACGGUAACGCCAAUCUUUAUAUAAAUCUAGUCAUUUUUUAAUCGGCAUAAAUCAUGACUAGAUCUUUCAAACAUUUAUUAUUAACACGUUGAUCGCACCGCGCAAAUCGAUCAAGUUUCCUGCGGGGCCUAAAUCCGUGGCGCGUAGAUCCAGAGUGAUUAGCUAGAAUAGCAAUCCGAUGUUGAUGUGCGUGGCCUGCGACCUAACGCCAUCGAGCCUUUGUGUUAUUACAUAGAAUAAAGGAUCUGACCACUUAGUGGGGAAACGAUAAGUUUAUCGGAAAGAGGACUGUGAGAGAUCUCUAUGUGAAGUGCCAUGGCAUUUACGCCAGAACCUUUAUUCCGUCGAGAAGCAUUUUUCUCUAACAAGCAUAUCUGUGAUUCUUUUAGUCUCAAAAUGUUUGUUAGACAGUGUAAAAAUAUAAUUGAAAGUGAACGGAAUAGUGAUGAAGAAGUAGUUAGCUUUAUAAGAAAGGCUAGAAAUGAAAUUUCAUCAAGUUCAAGUUCGGAUAACGAGGAUGCAUAUGACAAUGGGCAACUUGAGGAAAUAUUUAAAAAACUAGCUAUAUGAGAAGAGGAUAAAUUGACCAAUAUUGUUGGUUCAUUGAACAAUAUCCAGUGAAACAAGUUUACCAGCAAACAAAAAUCAUUUACAUUUACCGAGAAAUGUGGGCUUUAUUAAUUACCUCUCGAUAUUAAAUCGGGUGAAGCGUUUUCAUUAUUUUUGAAUGAAAAAGUGAUAAGCCUUUUAGUCACGGAAACGAACAGAUGUACAGAUCAAAAAUUGCUUCAUCCAAGCACCGAACACGCUCGAAUGAAGAGAUGGAAACCCACUACUACCGAAUAAAUGAAAACAUUGUUGAUUUAGAUGGCCCUAGUAUAGAUGCCACUAACUAAAUGUUGGACAACGGACCCUAUUUACAAUUUUCCGUCUCCGCGUAUCAUAAUGUCUCGUAAUCGAUUUGAGUUAUUAUUAGCGAAUUUGCACUUUGAAAAAAACGAAGACAUAGAAUCUAAUAAUAGACUUGGAAAAAUUUUACCACUUGUAUACAUACUAAUAAACAGUUCUCAAAAAGUCUUUUUACUAGGCCCAGAUAAUGCAGUCGACUAGACAAUGGUUUCUUGGAGAGGAAGACUAAUAUUUAGGCAGUACAUACCGGCUAAAUCCCAUAAAUAUGGAAUAAAAUUGUUCAAACUAUAUUCCACCGAAGAUCAUAUAUACAUGGUCCGAUACAUACAUGGUCUGAUACAUAGACGAGAUACCAGUGGAAUCAGGCAAGUUGGCACAGCCGAAGACAUUUGCACUGAGCUUACAAAAAACUUAAAAAAAUCAUUUUUAUACUAGUUAUGAACUAGCACUUAAAUUUUUCAAUGUCAAAACAUAUGUUGUUGGAACUGUACGUCACAUUUAUGCCAAAAUACGUUGUCUUACCCAUUGAAAAGAGAUGAGAUGAUAUUACUGGAAGAUAAUAAUGGUAUUGUGGUACUAAAAUGAGAGAUGUCUAUGAUGUUAAAAUAUUGUCAACAAAAUAUGCACCCGUUAUGGUAUCAACUUCGGAUUCCUCCACUCAUCGCGAUCGUCUACCGAAAAUGAAACCUUUAGUAGUAACAGUUUAUAAUAACGGAAAGUUUGAUAUAGACAGAAGCGACCAGAUGAUAUGCAACAACAAUACGAAAAUACAUCAAAUGCUAACCUGGCAUAACUUUUGAAACGAAUGGGAAGGAAUAAAAAAUAAAACGAAAGACUAUAAAAAAAGCGAUAAAAAAGAAAAUAAGACGAAAAUAAACGUAACGACG